This 315-nucleotide ribosomal RNA is filed under the name uncultured Pediococcus sp. RNAcentral's name for it is "bacterial SSU rRNA". It matches the Rfam family "Bacterial small subunit ribosomal RNA", at positions 268 to 610 of the family's 1533-position model. Lineage: Bacteria; Bacillati; Bacillota; Bacilli; Lactobacillales; Lactobacillaceae. The record is from RNAcentral.
CCAAGGCAGUGAUACGUAGCCGACCUGAGAGGGUAAUCGGCCACAUUGGGACUGAGACACGGCCCAGACUCCUACGGGAGGCAGCAGUAGGGAAUCUUCCACAAUGGACGCAAGUCUGAUGGAGCAACGCCGCGUGAGUGAAAGGCUCGGGUCGUACUCUGUUGUUGGAGAAGAACGUGUGUGAGAGUAACUGCUCAUGCAGUGACGGUAUCCAACCAGAGCCACGGCUAACUACGUACGUAGGUGGCAAGCGUUAUCCGGAUUUAGGGCGUAAAGCGACGCAGGCGGUCUAAGUCUAAUGUGAGCCUUCGGCUU